Molecule: ribosomal RNA, 253 nt
Filed under: uncultured bacterium
Lineage: Bacteria
Description: partial 16S ribosomal RNA
Rfam family: Bacterial small subunit ribosomal RNA
Source: RNAcentral
UACGGAGGGAGCUAGCGUUGUUCGGAAUUACUGGGCGUAAAGCGCACGUAGGCGGCUUUGCAAGUUAGAGGUGAAAGCCCGGGGCUCAACUCCGGAAUUGCCUUUAAAACUGCAUCGCUAGAAUUGUGGAGAGGUAAGUGGAAUUCCGAGUGUAGAGGUGAAAUUCGUAGAUAUUCGGAAGAACACCAGUGGCGAAGGCGACUUACUGGGCACAUAUUGACGCUGAGGUGCGAAAGCGUGGGGAGCAAACAGG